This 69-nucleotide transfer RNA is filed under the name Neomonachus tropicalis (Caribbean monk seal). RNAcentral's name for it is "tRNA-Lys". It matches the Rfam family "tRNA". Rfam says of the family: Transfer RNA (tRNA) molecules are approximately 80 nucleotides in length. Their secondary structure includes four short double-helical elements and three loops (D, anti-codon, and T loops). Lineage: Eukaryota; Metazoa; Chordata; Mammalia; Carnivora; Phocidae. The record is from RNAcentral.
CAUUAAGAAGCUAUAUAGCAUUAACCUUUUAAGUUAAAGACUGAGAGUAUUAAAAUCUCUCCUUAAUGA